AUGUUCAAAAAGGUGAGCAGACAUCUAGCUCUGUUCCAAAGAGAGACAGUAAUUAUGUGAAAUACAAAGAUCACCCCUCGGCUGGGCUUCUGGGGAGGUGUGUAGCCCAGGGAUUAAGAAUGUGGUGGUGGGACCCUAGCUUGACCCUUGAUAUCCAGGUGACCCUGGGUGAACCAAGGCAGCAGGGCCCCAUCGCUUCCUCACUCUGUGAUGUGCAAAGAACAGUUAAAUCCUUCCUCAGAGGGCUGAUGGAGAGUGGAACAAGCUUACAGAUAGAAGCAUCUGGAAUAGCCAUGACACAUUGUCUGCACUCAUUGCUGUAGGUCAGGGCUGGGCUGCCCUUCACUGGAGUGGAGGCUCUGGAGGCAAGCCCCUCCCCCCCACCCCCCUCGGGGCUUCCCUGGAUGCUCCCAGACCCAGCACCGUGUGUUAGGGGAAGGGUUUUUAUAAAUACCUGUUGAGUAAAUGGGGAUGACUCCCGGCGUUGGGGGCAGGUUGGAAUAAGUUGUCAGAGGAUAAAGGAGAGAAACACAUUGGCUUGGGGAAUUGAGUCAUUUCCAUUUUAUUGUCAGUGGUGGUUUCUUAAAUGAAACAGUCCCACAACCACUCGUGUCCACCCUGGCUGAACCCAUGAAAAGCGGUGCUGCUCCCAAUGCCAGACAAUGAGUCAGGAUGGAGGGGAACGUGAUCCGUAACCUCAGUAAUGACAGGACGCCCACAUACAAUUAUAACAGCAACUGCGGAUGGGUGUGGGAGAGACAGCCACUGCUUUAAAAGUCCCUUGCCCUGGCUCUUGCCUUUCUGGUGUCACCAGAGCCCGGCGGCCUUGUCACUGAAUUCUGUGCAUCUUGCAGGAAAGGGUUAGCCUGGCAGAAGGAGCCUGGCUCCGAGGAAGAGAAAGAAAGACAGCUGAGGGCUUAAAUGACCCAGAGUCAAACCUGGUCCUCCACCCCUGCGGUGGAGGAGGCCUUGUGUUUGGUGUGGACCCACACCUCUGGCCUCCCCUGGCUGCUAGACAAGGUGAGACUCAACACAUCUGACCUUGGCACAGAGGGUGUGAUGAGCGCCACCGCCCCCCCCAACAAGUAAGGUGGGCUCCCGACUACAGUGUGAGAUGUGCUUUGUACCUGACUGCCCCUGAGUCUGUCUCUACCCCCACCACCCCCCUACUCCCCACACCCCCCGUGCGCAUGUGGGGCGGGGGUGGAGGGACACUACUUGGCAUGUUGGGUGGCUGGUCUCAUCCUGAGCCUGAAGCAGGUAGAAAUGGUCCCUCUCACUCGUUUCCCAAGAGGCUUUCCAGGGUCAUCUCGGUCAGGACCCCUGUACUGAGAUGCUGCUGGGAAGCUGGGCAGGGAUCAUUGUCCCUGUGGGUGAAAAUGGGGCUCUCCAUCUGCAGGGUACACAUUGUGUCUCAACUUCUCCUCCACCGUGGCCACCUUGCGUGAAUGAGCCUAGUGUAUACUUUAGUUUGGAUUCCCCCAGAGCCAAAUACUGAGGGAAGGUUCAAGAGCAAUUGGAUUAUCUGGGAGGUGAGCCCAGGCAUGGCUGCUUAGGAGGGAGAAAGGAUUUGGGGAGGGGAGGGAACCAGGACAGCGGGUAUUCAUUCGAGUUGGAACCAGGACACGCACCCACCAACUCCCAGGGCCAUUCAGGGCUGCUCCUGGGGGUGUUAAGGUACCAGCACAUCCAGCCUCCCUCUACAGCCUCAGGCAGAAAAUCCAGAGCAAAAAGCCUUGGAUGGCACUGGCAAGCACCAGGGAUAUAUGGGCAGAAUAGCAGCAGUACCUGAUACAUUUUCCUGGGAGAAAGGUUUAAGCAACCCAAGUGUCCAUGGACAGAUGAAUGAAUAGGCAAAAGGGGGAUGUCUGUACCAUGGAGUACUAUUCAGCCCUAAAAAAGAAGGAAUAUGCUAACACAUGGAUGACCCUUGAAGGUGUUCUGCUAAGUGAAAUAAGCCUGUCACUGAAGGAAAAAUAGUGUAUGAUUCCUCUCGUAUGAGGUGCUAGAACAGACAAAAUCAUAGAAAGUUCCUGGUGCUUGCCAGGAACUGGGGGGACAAGAGGGAAUUGGGGUGUAAUGGUACAGAAAAUGAUUCAAGGAGUUCCCGUCGUGGCGCAGUGGUUAACGAAUACGACUAGGAACCAUAAGGUUGCGGGUUCAACCCCUGGCCUUGCUCAGUAGGUUAAGGAUCCGGCGUUGCCGUGAGCUGUGGUGUGGGUUGCAGACAAGGCUCGGAUCCUGCAUUGCUGUGGCUCUGGCGUAGGCUGGCGGCUACAGCUCUGAUUUGACCCCUGGCCUGGGAACCUCCAUAUGCC
Molecule: long non-coding RNA, 2318 nt
Filed under: Sus scrofa (pig)
Lineage: Eukaryota; Metazoa; Chordata; Mammalia; Artiodactyla; Suidae
Description: lncRNA (ENSSSCG00000059340.1)
Source: RNAcentral